UCCAUUCGCGGACAUGAUGGAU
This 22-nucleotide microRNA is filed under the name Glycine max (soybean). Its description in RNAcentral is "gma-miR5764". The record is from miRBase by way of RNAcentral. Lineage: Eukaryota; Viridiplantae; Streptophyta; Magnoliopsida; Fabales; Fabaceae.